AAGAUAUGGUCGUGACCGUCUCGCACGCGGGCUACGUCAAGCGCGUGCCGCUCUCGACCUAUCGCGCACAGAAGCGCGGCGGCAAAGGCCGCUCGGGCAUGCAGACGCGCGACGAGGAUUUCGUCAGCCGGCUGGUCAUCGACCCAUACGCCGGUGCUGUUCUUCUCGUCUCGCGGCCAGGUCUAUAAGGAGAAGGUCUGGCGUCUGCCA
RNAcentral lists this unclassified non-coding RNA (210 nucleotides) under Hevea brasiliensis (rubber tree). Lineage: Eukaryota; Viridiplantae; Streptophyta; Magnoliopsida; Malpighiales; Euphorbiaceae. The record is from RNAcentral.